This 283-nucleotide ribosomal RNA is filed under the name uncultured bacterium. RNAcentral describes it as "partial 16S ribosomal RNA". It matches the Rfam family "Bacterial small subunit ribosomal RNA", at positions 335 to 609 of the family's 1533-position model. The record is from RNAcentral.
ACUCCUACGGGAGGCAGCAGUGGGGAAUAUUGGACAAUGGGGGAACCCGUAGAUCCAGCCAUGCCGCGUGUGUGAAGAAGGCCUUCGGGUUGUAAAGCACUUUCAGUGGGGAGGAAAGGUUGUUGGUUAAUACCUAACAGCUGUGACGUUACCCACAGAAGAAGCACCGGCUAACUCCGUGCCAGCAGCCGCGGUAAUACGGAGGGUGCAAGCGUUAAUCGGAAUUACUGGGCGUAAAGCGUGCGCAGGCGGUCUGUUAAGCGAGAUGUGAAAGCCCGGCUGC